CGAUUUGAUAUGGAGCUCCCCAGAUA
Molecule: small RNA, 26 nt
Filed under: Bombyx mori (domestic silkworm)
Lineage: Eukaryota; Metazoa; Arthropoda; Insecta; Lepidoptera; Bombycidae
Description: ovarian small RNA-14293
Source: RNAcentral